AUUUAAAUAAUUUAAAAAUAAAAUAUUGAUUUGUGGUGUCAAAAAUAUGAUAAAAAUCAUUUUAAAUU
RNAcentral lists this transfer RNA (68 nucleotides) under Nomophila noctuella. Its description in RNAcentral is "tRNA-His". The record is from RNAcentral. Lineage: Eukaryota; Metazoa; Arthropoda; Insecta; Lepidoptera; Crambidae.